GCGGGCUUAGCUCAGUUGGUUAGAGCGUCUGCCUUACACGCAGAAUGUCGGGGGUUCGAGUCCCUCAGCCCGCACCA
Molecule: transfer RNA, 77 nt
Filed under: Acidobacteriota bacterium
Lineage: Bacteria; Pseudomonadati; Acidobacteriota
Also listed under: 1 other name
Description: Acidobacteria bacterium (groundwater metagenome) tRNA-Val
Rfam family: tRNA
About the family: Transfer RNA (tRNA) molecules are approximately 80 nucleotides in length. Their secondary structure includes four short double-helical elements and three loops (D, anti-codon, and T loops). Further hydrogen bonds mediate the characteristic L-shaped molecular structure. tRNAs have two regions of fundamental functional importance: the anti-codon, which is responsible for specific mRNA codon recognition, and the 3' end, to which the tRNAs corresponding amino acid is attached (by aminoacyl-tRNA synthetases). tRNAs cope with the degeneracy of the genetic code in two manners: having more than one tRNA (with a specific anti-codon) for a particular amino acid; and 'wobble' base-pairing, i.e. permitting non-standard base-pairing at the 3rd anti-codon position.
Source: RNAcentral